AUCCAGCUGACGAGUCCCAAAUAGGACGGAACGCGUCUCCUGAAU
Molecule: non-coding RNA, 45 nt
Filed under: Schistosoma mansoni
Lineage: Eukaryota; Metazoa; Platyhelminthes; Trematoda; Strigeidida; Schistosomatidae
Source: RNAcentral